Small nuclear RNA from Suncus etruscus (white-toothed pygmy shrew), 107 nucleotides. The record is from RefSeq and is a predicted model, not a curated record. Lineage: Eukaryota; Metazoa; Chordata; Mammalia; Eulipotyphla; Soricidae.
AUGCUCGCUUUGUCAGCACAUAUACUAAAAUUGGAAUGAUAUACAGAAUAUUAGCAUGGCCCCUGUGCAAGAAUGACAUGCAAAUUUGUGAAGCGUUCAAUAUUUUU